Molecule: ribosomal RNA, 306 nt
Filed under: Triticum aestivum (bread wheat)
Lineage: Eukaryota; Viridiplantae; Streptophyta; Magnoliopsida; Poales; Poaceae
Description: partial small subunit ribosomal RNA
Source: RNAcentral
AUGGAGGGCGCGGUGAUCAGGCACCGGACUGUGGAGGUCAAUGACUUCUUGAUGCACGUGGCAGAGGCCGGCCCCGAGGGGCACUCCAAGGGGACCGUGUUGUUCCUACAUGGCUUCCCGGAGCUAUGGUACACGUGGCGCCACCAGAUGGAGAAUCUGGCAGCACGCGGCUACCAUUGCGUCGCGCCUGACCUUCGUGGCUAUGGUGGUACCACCGCCCCGUCCGACGUGGAAUCUUACACUGCCUUCCAUAUCGUCGGUGACAUCCUCGCGCUUCUCAAUACCCUAGGGCUUGCAAAGGUAUGA